Molecule: long non-coding RNA, 1673 nt
Organism: Oncorhynchus mykiss (rainbow trout)
Lineage: Eukaryota; Metazoa; Chordata; Actinopteri; Salmoniformes; Salmonidae
Source: Ensembl
AUGGUUACACGAAGUGUUAUUCUGAUUACAGGAGGUGGAAAAGGUUUGGACACUGAGACUUGCGUUUCAACUAGCCAGCGAGCUCUUCCAACAAAACCUAACUCUUGUGAAAUGGAAUUCCAUCAAACUCAGGGACCUUCAAGACCUUCUUGCUCGACAAUAUAUGACCUAUUCGGAAUGUGUCAGAGACAUGCGUCUGCGUCAAAACCUUCCAAUUGGUGAUAUGGUUAAGAACUACUUCAAACAGCUGGACGACUUUCUUUCACGUGAGGUAAAGAAUCUUAUAGGUUGCGUUUUACUGAGAGGGCUGGAGUGGGCCUAGCCUAUACCUAUGUUGUAUAAUGUAUUAUUUUCACCUAAUACAUAUUUGUUGGUCGUUUUUGUAUUUUAGAGUUUCAGCUUGUGCUCAUGGGAGGUCGUGAGAACUGAAAUGGGGAGCAUCCUGAGGGAUUUUUACAAGAAAUCAAAAAUGCCAAGAAAACACGUGUGAGAGUAUCAUUACUUUUAGUUAAUUUCUGCAAAACGUGUAAUUUUUUUGUAUGUUAUUUCUCCGUGUUGCAAAUAAUUUCAAUGUAGGUUAUAGUAUUUAAAUGAAGAUGCAAACAGACUUACAUUGGUUGAAAUUGCGCUCGCAAUUUUGUAAAAUUCUGUGGUGUGAUGCAACCUUGAAAUACGAGUUUUUCGUUGAAAUGUUUUCCUAAAUGAGAAAUUAUUCCUACUAACAAUUGCAUAUCAACAUCAUCUUCAAUGAAAAACAAUAAACUCCUUAAUUAACAAUACUCUGAAUUCCAGCCAUACUUUCCUGCCCUUUAAGACAUCAUCAAAUCACUGUAAAGCAUUGUUGAUUCGGAUAGUUGUUAAUACUAUCAGGUACACAUUUACUGGAUAUCAUGCAACAUAAUUAUAACUCCACAUUCUAAAUGUUAGUUCAAUGGAAUAUAGCAAUCGCUAACCGUGCUGUUACUCGUCAGUCUCUACAGUGGAAAGAUAAUAGAUGCAGAGGUAACAUCAACUCACAUAUCUGGAUAAAAGUCCAAUAAAACACACGAAUGUGGAAUACUUGACAAAUGAUCUACGUGACAGACCUAUAUUUUACUCACAAGUGCGUGUAGGCCCAGAUUCAAAAGCACCCGAAAUAUAGACUCCAAUUUAAGCACUAAUGCCAAGGUAAGGGGUAUGGCCAACGUCUAUACUGCCUGUGCACUGCAUAGGCUACCAGUGUUUUAUUCUGAAAACAGGGAGCAUAAUGGUGCGGGUCUACCAAAAUUAUUCAGUCCACUUAAACCCGUUUUUAAAACGAAAUAAAUGAAUGUUGAGUGUGUAAUUGAUAGAACCCAUACAAGGUUGAUCUGUAUCUUUAAAUAGGCAGUUGAGGUCUAAAUACCACAAUUACCCUUUGAGCAGGUGGUUACAACCUAGUUGGCACCAUAGUUUCUGUGCGCAAAUGAAAAGGUGUUGCGUUUAUUUCUUCUAUUAAAAGCAAUCCUGAAUGAAAGGACAAUAUUUAAUGAUAAAAUAGCCAAAAAAAUCCAGAUGUAACAAUUAUUCGAGAGAUGCAGCUGUCCUUUCCCUGCAUUUUCUCCAAACGAAGAACAACACUCUCAGGUAUGAAAGUGUAAGGGAACUUCCAUCUUUCACUUUUGGAAUACCUUGCAGACUCUUUGUAUGAAGGG